CUCUUCGGAGUGAGCGGCGGACGGGUUAGUAACGCGUGGGAANNUGCCCUUNUCUAAGGAAUAGCCACUGGAAACGGUGAGUAAUACCUUAUACGCCCUUNGGGGGAAAGAUUUAUCGGAUANGGAUNAGCCCGCGUNAGAUUAGAUAGUUGGUGGGGUAANGGCCUACCAAGUCUACGAUCUUUAGCUGGUUUUAGAGGAUGAUCAGCAACACUGGGACUGAGACACGGCCCAGACUCCUACGGGAGGCAGCAGUGGGGAAUCUUGGACAAUGGGCGCAAGCCUGAUCCAGCCAUGCCGCGUGAGUGAUGAAGGCCUUAGGGUCGUAAAGCUCUUUCGCCUGAGAUGAUAAUGACNGUAUCUGGUAAAGAAACCCCGGCUAACUCCGUGCCAGCAGCCGCGGUAAUACGGAGGGGGUUAGCGUUGUUCGGAAUUACUGGGCGUAAAGCGCACGUAGGCGGANNGGAAAGUAUGGGGUGAAAUCCCAGGGCUCAACCCUGGAACUGCCUCUUAAACUCNUGGUCUUGAGUUCGAGAGAGGUGAGUGGAAUUCCGAGUGUAGAGGUGAAAUUCGUAGAUAUUCGGAGGAACACCAGUGGCGAAGGCGGCUCACUGGCUCGAUACUGACGCUGAGGUGCGAAAGUGUGGGGAGCAAACAGGAUUAGAUACCCUGGUAGUCCACACCGUAAACGAUGAAUGCCAGUCGUCGGGUAGCAUGCUAUUCGGUGACACACCUAACGGAUUAAGCAUUCCGCCUGGGGAGUACGGUCGCAAGAUUAAAA
Molecule: ribosomal RNA, 781 nt
Filed under: marine sponge bacterium LIQUIDt213
Lineage: Bacteria
Description: bacterial SSU rRNA
Rfam family: Bacterial small subunit ribosomal RNA
Source: RNAcentral